This 260-nucleotide ribosomal RNA is filed under the name Bacillus subtilis subsp. subtilis. RNAcentral's name for it is "partial 16S ribosomal RNA". It matches the Rfam family "Bacterial small subunit ribosomal RNA", at positions 1258 to 1533 of the family's 1533-position model. The record is from RNAcentral. Lineage: Bacteria; Bacillati; Bacillota; Bacilli; Caryophanales; Bacillaceae.
CGAGGUUAAGCCAAUCCCACAAAUCUGUUCUCAGUUCGGAUCGCAGUCGGCAACUCGACUGCGUGAAGCUGGAAUCGCUAGUAAUCGCGGAUCAGCAUGCCGCGGUGAAUACGUUCCCGGGCCUUGUACACACCGCCCGUCACACCACGAGAGUUUGUAACACCCGAAGUCGGUGAGGUAACCUUUUAGGAGCCAGCCGCCGAAGGUGGGACAGAUGAUGGGGGAAGUCGAACAAGGUGCUAAGAGGGGGCUAAGGAUGU